RNAcentral lists this ribosomal RNA (422 nucleotides) under uncultured bacterium. Its description in RNAcentral is "bacterial SSU rRNA". It matches the Rfam family "Bacterial small subunit ribosomal RNA", at positions 355 to 774 of the family's 1533-position model. The record is from RNAcentral.
UGAGGAAUAUUGGUCAAUGGACGAGAGUCUGAACCAGCCAAAUCGCGUGAAGGAAGACUGCCCUACGGGUUGUAAACUUCUUUUGUACAGGAGUAAAAGACAUUACGUGUAAUGUAUUGCAUGUACUGUACGAAUAAGCAUCGGCUAACUCCGUGCCAGCAGCCGCGGUAAUACGGAGGAUGCGAGCGUUAUCCGGAUUUAUUGGGUUUAAAGGGUGCGCAGGCGGGAUUUUAAGUCAGCGGUGAAAUUUUCAGGCUCAACCUGAACACUGCCGUUGAAACUGGGAUUCUUGAGUAUGGAUGAAGUAGGCGGAAUUCGUUGUGUAGCGGUGACAUGCUUAGAUAUAACGAGGAACUCCGAUUGCGUAGGCAGCUUACUAAGCCAUAACUGACGCUCAAGCACGAAAGCGUGGGGAUCAAACA